RNAcentral lists this ribosomal RNA (432 nucleotides) under uncultured bacterium. RNAcentral's name for it is "bacterial SSU rRNA". It matches the Rfam family "Bacterial small subunit ribosomal RNA", at positions 33 to 507 of the family's 1533-position model. The record is from RNAcentral.
AACGACGCUGGCGGCAGGCCUAACACAUGCAAGUCGAACGCUCUCUUCGGAGGGAGUGGCAGACGGGUGAGUAACGCGUGGGAAUCUACCCAGCACUACGGAAUAACGCAUGGAAACGUGUGCUAAUACCGUAUACGCCCCAUGGGGGAAAGAUUUAUCGGAGUUGGAUGAGCCCGCGUCUGAUUAGCUAGUUGGUGAGGUAAUGGCUCACCAAGGCGACGAUCAGUAGCUGGUCUGAGAGGAUGACCAGCCACACUGGGACUGAGACACGGCCCAGACUCCUACGGGAGGCAGCAGUGGGGAAUAUUGGACAAUGGGCGCAAGCCUGAUCCAGCCAUGCCGCGUGAGUGAUGACGGCCUUAGGGUUGUAAAGCUCUUUCACCGGUGAAGAUAAUGACGGUAACCGGAGAAGAAGCCCCGGCUAACUUCGUG